UACGUAGGUGGCAAGCGUUAUCCGGAUUUAUUGGGCGUAAAGGGAACGCAGGCGGUCUUUUAAGUCUGAUGUGAAAGCCUUCGGCUUAACCGGAGUAGUGCAUUGGAAACUGGGAGACUUGAGUGCAGAAGAGGAGAGUGGGACUCCAUGUGUAGCGGUGAAAUGCGUAGAUAUAUGGAAGAACACCAGUGGCGAAAGCGGCUCUCUGGUCUGUAACUGACGCUGAGGUUCGAAAGCGUGGGUAGCAAACAGG
RNAcentral lists this ribosomal RNA (253 nucleotides) under uncultured bacterium. RNAcentral's name for it is "partial 16S ribosomal RNA". It matches the Rfam family "Bacterial small subunit ribosomal RNA", at positions 524 to 776 of the family's 1533-position model. The record is from RNAcentral.